This 288-nucleotide ribosomal RNA is filed under the name uncultured bacterium. Its description in RNAcentral is "partial 16S ribosomal RNA". It matches the Rfam family "Bacterial small subunit ribosomal RNA", at positions 773 to 1060 of the family's 1533-position model. The record is from RNAcentral.
GUGGAUUAGAUACCCUGGUAGUCCACGCCGUAAACGAUGUCGACUAGCCGUUGGCCUCCUUGAGGGGUUAGUGGCGCAGCUAACGCGAUAAGUCGACCGCCUGGGGAGUACGGCCGCAAGGUUAAAACUCAAAUGAAUUGACGGGGGCCCGCACAAGCGGUGGAGCAUGUGGUUUAAUUCGACGCAACGCGAAGAACCUUACCUACUCUUGACAUCCAGAUAACCUUGUAGAGAUAUGAGGGUGCCUUCGGGAAAUCUGAGACAGGUGCUGCACGGUUGUCGUCAACU